Molecule: long non-coding RNA, 729 nt
Organism: Sinocyclocheilus grahami
Lineage: Eukaryota; Metazoa; Chordata; Actinopteri; Cypriniformes; Cyprinidae
Exons: 4
Source: RefSeq, a predicted model, not a curated record
UUGGUUGUUUCUCACGCAGAGCCCGCCCUCUUUCGAAUUUCUUCGGCGAAUCGGGUUUCUUGCUCUGUGACGACGCGAUAGUUCCGGGAAAAUGGCGGCCCCCUGAGAGGGGGCAACGUGUGAUGUUUGUAAGAGGCACGAUGAAGCCGUAGCUUUGAGUUUGGGGUGUUAGAUGCUCUGGAGGAGCCCCGUCUGUCAGGGCUGUGUGUGUGUUGUUAUGUGACACACUGACAUCUCAUAACGGGACUCGUUUUAGUGUAGCUUUGAGAAUGGGCUUGACAUUGCAUAGGCAGGUGUAACCAUCUGUGAUUAAAUGUGACUGGAGGAGCACAAAGCAUGGAGAGAGGAUCUGAUUAUCCGAUUGGCUGACGGCAGGACGGUCAAAGGUCAGCUGGAGUGACCUCGCCGUUACAGAUGGCCGAGAGUGAACGUGGUGUACAGAGUGAAUGGAGAUCUGUGGGAUCUAAGUCUCUCUCUGGUGGAGGACUGCGUGAACUGCAGCUGCUGGGUUUUGACUCACUGGAGGGCAGACAGUGUGAUGUUGGAGCAGCGGGUUCGAGCAGAUUUUGGCGCGCUGCACCGUAACGAACACUCGGGGGCGCUGGGGGGUUUACCCAGAGUCCGGCGCUUCUGCUAGGACCGCGCGCACAUCUUCUGCACACCUGAGCAGGUACAGCUUCAAAGCAAUUCAGUCGUUUUUGCAAAAGGAUCAAUCAUAUCAAAAAACAC